UACGUAGGGGGCUAGCGUUGUCCGGAUUUAUUGGGCGUAAAGAGCGUGUAGGCGGCCAUGUAGGUCCGGUGUGAAAACUCGAGGCUUAACCUCGAGAUGUCAUCGGAAACCAUUUGGCUAGAGUCCGGAAGAGGAGAGUGGAAUUCCUGGUGUAGCGGUGAAAUGCGCAGAUAUCAGGAAGAACACCAAUGGCGAAGGCAGCUUGCUGGGACGGUACUGACGCUGAGGCGCGAAAGCGUGGGGAGCAAACAGG
Molecule: ribosomal RNA, 253 nt
Filed under: uncultured bacterium
Lineage: Bacteria
Description: partial 16S ribosomal RNA
Rfam family: Bacterial small subunit ribosomal RNA
Source: RNAcentral